AGUAAAUUCUAUGGUCAAGCUACUAAGGGCGCACGGUGGAUGCCUUGGCAGAUACAGGCGAUGAAGGACGUGGCAAGCUGCGAUAAGCUUCGGGAAGCCGCACACAGGCGUUGAUCCGGAGAUUUCCGAAUGGGGAAACCCACAUACGCAAACCGUAUGUAUGUCUCACUGAAUCCAUAGGUGAGAACAGGCGAACGGAGGGAAGUGAACCAUCUCAGUACCUCCAGGAGUAGAAAGAAACCUCGAUUCCGAAAGUAGUGGCGAGCGAAAUCGGAACAGCCCAAACCCGUUGCAUUAAGGUGCGUCGGGGGUUGUAGGGCCUGCAAUAGUAGAGUUACCAAUCUGGUCGAUAGUCGAAGCCUCUGGAAAGUGGCUCCAUAGUGGGUGACAGACCCGUAGACGAAAUUGAUCCAGACUCGAAGCAGGUACCUGAGUAAGGCGGGGCACGAGAAACCCUGCUUGAAUCCACGGGGACCAUCCCGUAAGGCUAAAUACUAGUAUCUGACCGAUAGUGAACCAGUACCGUGAGGGAAAGGCGAAAAGCACCCCAUUGAGGGGAGUGAAAAGUACCUGAAACCGUGUGCCUACAAGCAGUGGGAGGACUAUGCCCGUAAGGGAAUGUCUGACCGCGUGCCUAUUGCAUAAUGAGCCGGCUAGUUAUUCUUGUCAGCAAGGUUAAGCGUGAGCGAGCCGCAGCGAAAGCGAGUCUGAAUAGGGCGUUAAGUUGGCAGGAAUAGACGCGAAGCGGGAUGAUCUACCCUUGGCCAGGUUGAAGGUGGGGUAACACCUACUGGAGGACCGAACCGGUGUUUGUUGAAAAAAGCUCGGAUGAGCUGAGGGUAGGGGUGAAAGGCUAAUCAAAUUCCGUGAUAGCUCGUUCUCUCCGAAAUAGCUUUAGGGCUAGCCUCGGGUGAUUUGGAUUGGUGGUAGAGACAUGAUUGGACUAGGGGGCUUUCCGGCUUACUGAAUCCAGCCAAACUUCGAAUGCCAAUUACAACCAGCCCGGGAGUCAGACUGUGGGGGCUAAGCUUCACAGUCGAGAGGAAAACAGUCCAGACCGCCUGCUAAGGUCCCCAAAUUACAGUUAAGUGGGAAAGGAAGUCGGAACGCUCAGACAGCCAGGAGGUUGGCUUAGAAGCAGCCAUCCUUUAAAGAAAGCGUAAUAGCUCACUGGUCAAGCGGUCCGGUGCCGACAAUACAACGGGGCUAAAACUGUAUACCGAAGCAGCGGAUGCACAUCUUUGAUGUGCGUGGUAGGAGAGCAUUCUCACAGCGAUGAAGUCAGACUGAGAAGACUGAUGGAGCGUUGAGAAGAGACCCUGCCGGCAUAAGUAGCGAUAAGGGAGGUGAGAACCCUCCCCGCCGAAAGUCUAAGGUUUCCUGAGGAAGGUUAAUCCGCUCAGGGUUAGGCGGUCCCUAAGCCGAGGCCGAGAGGCGUAGGCGAUGGACAUCCGGUUAAUAUUCCGGACCUCCCAGUUUUUCGUUAUUACGAUGGGGUGACGCAGAAGGAUAAGCAGGACCUCCUAUGGCUAUGGGGUUCGAUGCGCGUAAGCUGGUUUCUCUAGGCAAAUCCGGAGAAGCUUAACAGUGAGGCGCAAAGCAGUAAGCCGAAUGGCUGAAAGCUGCUGAGUUCACGCUGCCAAGAAAAACCUCUAAGGAGAGAGAUUGGGAACCGUACCACAAACCGACACAGGUAGACGAGGAGAAUAUCCAAAGGCGCUCGAGUGAAAGCUUGUUAAGGAACUCGGCAAAUUAGACCCGUAACUUCGGGAGAAGGGUCGCCACGGGGGUGAAUAGCCCUUCGUGGCCGCAGCGAAAUGCGAACGGCGACUGUUUAACAAAAACACAGGUCUCUGCAAAGUCUAAAACGACGUAUAGGGGCUGACUCCUGCCCGGUGCCGGAAGGUUAAAGGGAGAGGUUAGGGCGCAAGCUCGAAGCUUCGAACUGAAGCCCCGGUGAACGGCGGCCGUAACUAUAACGGUCCUAAGGUAGCGAAAUUCCUUGUCGGGUAAGUUCCGACCUGCACGAAUGGAGUAACGAUCGUUCGACUGUCUUAACGAGUUGCUCGGCGAACUUGUAGUACCGGUGAAGAUGCCGGUUACCCGCAGCUAGACGAAAAGACCCCGUGCACCUUUACUAUACUUUUACAGUGGGUUACGGCAAUUGCUGCGCAGGAUAGGUGGGAGGCUUUGAGACCGGACUUUCGGGUUCGGUGGAGCCAACGGUGAGAUACCACCCUGCGAUUGUUGUGAUCCUAACCUCCUCCCGUGAUCCGGGAGAGGGACAUUGUAAGACGGGUAGUUUGACUGGGGCGGUCGCCUCCUAAAUUGUAACGGAGGCGCGCGAAGCUACACUCAGGUCGUUUGGAAAUCGACCGUCGAGUGCAAAGGCAUAAGUGUGGUUAACUGCGAGACCUACAAGUCGAGCAGAUGCGAAAGCAGGCCUUAGUGAUCCGGUGGUUCUGUAUGGAAGGGCCAUCGCUCAACGGAUAAAAGGUACGCCGGGGAUAACAGGCUGAUCAUUGCCAAGAGUUCAUAUCGACGCAAUGGUUUGGCACCUCGAUGUCGGCUCAUCGCAUCCUGGAGCUGUAGAAGGUUCCAAGGGUUAGGCUGUUCGCCUAUUAAAGCGGUACGUGAGCUGGGUUCAGAACGUCGCGAGACAGUUCGGUCUCUAUCUGCUGUGGGCGUAGGAGAUUUGAAGAGGGCUGUCCUUAGUACGAGAGGACCGGGAUGGACGAACCUCUUGUGUUCCAGUUGUCUUGCCAAAGGCACGGCUGGGUAGCGAAGUUCGGUUGUGAUAACCGCUGAAUGCAUAUAAGCGGGAAGCACGCUCUAAGAUGAGAUCUCCCAACCCGUAAGGGAAAUGAAGGGCCCAGGAAGACCACCUGGUUGAUAGGCUGGAGGUUGAAGCGCAGUAAUGUGUGUAGCUUACCAGUACUAAUCGCCCGUUCGGCUUGUCCAUAGAA
Molecule: ribosomal RNA, 2966 nt
Filed under: Edaphobacter sp. 12200R-103
Lineage: Bacteria; Pseudomonadati; Acidobacteriota; Terriglobia; Terriglobales; Acidobacteriaceae
Description: 23S ribosomal RNA
Rfam family: Bacterial large subunit ribosomal RNA
Source: RNAcentral